CGAGGUAGAAUUUAUGUAGCAAGUUAAGUGAUCCUGAUUACAUAGGUGAUGAGCUAUUAUAAUUAUGAUAAGCCGUCAGAUUCGUCGUUAAAGAAAUCAGAUCUGAGGUAUGUUCUGUUAAGGCUGGCAACAUUUGUGACAGGCUAUCACACUUGUGAUAAGCCAUCAGAAGUGUCAUCAUAAAACCAAAAUAAGCUAUCAAACAAUUCUGGGCCCAGUUAAAGGAACCCGACCCGGC
This 238-nucleotide long non-coding RNA is filed under the name Capsicum annuum. RNAcentral describes it as "long non-coding RNA (CANN_LNC013989)". The record is from RNAcentral. Lineage: Eukaryota; Viridiplantae; Streptophyta; Magnoliopsida; Solanales; Solanaceae.